GCCAUCUCUUUUGAAACAAAAAUGAAACAGACGUGGCCGGGGAAAGCUAAAUAUUUGCAAGCCGAUGUGAACAAAGGGGAAAACUCCAGCCAGGGAACUUUGAGUUUCUGCGCGAGCCCCCAGCGGCCCCGCUCGCUGGAUACUUUAUGAGAACGUCCUUUGCCCCUGCUUUCCCUCAGUCCCCGAAGGAAAAUAAAUCCUCGGCCAAAUGAGACUUGACGGCGUGAACAGAAGACCGUCUCCAGACAGUCCCAGCUGGCGCAGGCGGAGCCGGGCCAGAGCCUGCCGUCCUGGUGAACACAAUCGAGCAAGGCAGUGAAGCAAAAAUCAUUAGAUGAGGUAACUGAGGCACAGAGAGUUCAAGCAACUUGUCCACAGUCAUCUUCCAAUAAGUGCUGGAGCCAGGAUUUGAAUGCAGGCAGUCCACCUCUUGUAUCCAAGCUGUCAUCCACUAAGCCAUG
Long non-coding RNA from Lontra canadensis (Northern American river otter), 461 nucleotides. RefSeq lists it as uncharacterized. NCBI's taxonomy places the organism in Eukaryota, Metazoa, Chordata, Mammalia, Carnivora, Mustelidae. The transcript has 3 exons. The record is from RefSeq and is a predicted model, not a curated record.